GAUGAACGUUGGCGGCGUGCUUAACACAUGCAAGUCGAACGGUGAAGGCGGAGCUUGCUCUGCUGGAUCAGUGGCGAACGGGUGAGUAACACGUGAGCAAUCUGCCCCUGACUCUGGGAUAAGCGCUGGAAACGGCGUCUAAUACUGGAUACGAGUUGCGAAGGCAUCUUCAGCAGCUGGAAAGAACUUCGGUCAGGGAUGAGCUCGCGGCCUAUCAGCUUGUUGGUGAGGUAACGGCUCACCAAGGCGUCGACGGGUAGCCGGCCUGAGAGGGUGACCGGCCACACUGGGACUGAGACACGGCCCAGACUCCUACGGGAGGCAGCAGUGGGGAAUAUUGCACAAUGGGCGAAAGCCUGAUGCAGCAACGCCGCGUGAGGGACGACGGCCUUCGGGUUGUAAACCUCUUUUAGCAGGGAAGAAGCGAAAGUGACGGUACCUGCAGAAAAAGCGCCGGCUAACUACGUG
RNAcentral lists this ribosomal RNA (468 nucleotides) under uncultured bacterium. RNAcentral describes it as "partial 16S ribosomal RNA". It matches the Rfam family "Bacterial small subunit ribosomal RNA", at positions 28 to 507 of the family's 1533-position model. The record is from RNAcentral.